RNAcentral lists this long non-coding RNA (251 nucleotides) under Sinocyclocheilus grahami. RNAcentral's name for it is "lncRNA (ENSSGRG00000007502.1)". Lineage: Eukaryota; Metazoa; Chordata; Actinopteri; Cypriniformes; Cyprinidae. The record is from RNAcentral.
GGAAACUAUGAUUAUCAAGGUCAAUUUUUGCAAGGGGUUGCUUACAAAGCAGUAAUUGUGUCAAAAGUUUAUUAAAAGUUACAAAUGAAACAAACCUUUCUUAAACUCAACUCCAGUCACAGGGGAUCAAUUCACAGGGGUUUCCUCACAGACAGAUGCCAUGGGCACAGGACAACCUGGUGCUACGGAACAAACACAGACAGCUGUAUCAGCAGGUGAACAGUACCACACAUCUGGUCAGGGUCCUGAAG